Molecule: long non-coding RNA, 3133 nt
Filed under: Sus scrofa (pig)
Lineage: Eukaryota; Metazoa; Chordata; Mammalia; Artiodactyla; Suidae
Description: lncRNA (ENSSSCG00000049147.2)
Source: RNAcentral
CUGCGGCAUAUGGAGGCUCCCAGGCUAGAGUUCUAAUCGGAGCUACAGCUGCCGGCCUGCACCCCAGCCACAGCCACGCCAGAUCUGAGCCAUGUCUGCAACCUACACCACAGCUCAUGGCAACACCGGAUCCUUAACCCACUGAGCGGGGCCAGGGAUCGAACCUGUGUCCUCACGGAUACUAGUUGGGUUCAUUACCAUUGAGCCACAACGGGAACUCCCCCUCUUUCAUUUUUCAUGAAAAAUAGUAGUUUGUAUCUUUUUUUUUAGUUAGCCUGGCGAGAGGUUUGUCAAUAUUGCUGAUUUUACGAAAGAAGAACCAGCUUUGUAUUUUUUUUUUUUUUUUUAAUUUGCUCUUUAGGGUCAGACCUGUAGCAUACGGAGGCUCCCAGGCUAGGGGUCCCAUCGGAGCUGCAGCUGCCAGUCUACACCACAGCCACAGCGAAGCCAGAUCCAAGCUGCGUUUGUGACCUGCAUCCCAGCUCAUGGCAACGCCAGAUCGUUAACCCACUGAGCGAGGCCAGGGAUCGAACCCGUGUCCUCAUGGAUCCCAGUCGGUUUCUUAGCCCUCUGAACCACAACAGGCACUCCUUGCUUUGGAUUUAUAAUUUGCUUUUCUUUUUUUUAGUUUCUAAGAUUAAUUUAGAUUAUUGAUGCUAUUAACCCACUGAGUGAGGCUAGGGAUGGAGCCUGUGUCCUCACGGAUGCUAGUCGGGUUGGUUAACUGCUGAGCCACGACAGAAACUCCAAGGAAAAUUUUUUAUUGCGGUACAAAUACACUUAACAUGAACUUGCCCUUUUAACCAUUUUCAAGUGUGCAGCUCAGUGGCAUUAAAUGCAGCCACUACCAUCCUGUCCGGGGCGUUUUCAUCUUCCUGAACCAAAGCCCUGUACCCAUUAACCACUACCUCCGUCAUCCGCCCGCCUCCCCCAGCCCCCGCCCCCCCCGCUCUGCUUUCUGUCUCCUUGAAUCUGACUCCGCCCGGGACCUCACCUCGGGGGAUCGUGCAGUCCUUGUCCUUUGUGACUGGCUCGUGUCACCAGCAUCAUGUCCUCGAGGUCCCUCCGCGUUGGAGCGGGUGUCAGAACCGCCUCCCCUUUUAAGCUACUCCUCCACGGUGUGGACGGGCCCCGAGGCGUUUUCCACCAGCCUUUGGAGGUCCGGCCGCUCGCGUCUCUCGGCUGUGUGCACAGGCUGCUCUGGACACGCUGUGCAAGUACCUGUGCAGGUGUCUGAUUUCAGUUCUUUUGGGUUUGUGCCCAGAAGUGGGGUUGCUGGAUCACGUGAUUCUGCCUUCAGUGUUUUGUGGGACUGCGCUGAUGUCCACGGCGGCCGCACCGUCUCGCAUCCCCACCAGCAGCACCCCAGCUCCUCCACACGCUCCCCACUCUUGUUCUUGGAUAAUCGGCCUCCGCCUGUGCACGGGUGUGUGAGUGGCCGUGGGCUUCUUGCUGGGCCUGGUCUCCGGUGCCCCCCCAGGAGCUGCUGUUGGCCUCAUGGGCCACUUCUCAGUGGUCUCGCUGCCCCACCCCCGCCCCGCCCCGCCGUGAGCCAUGCUGGACACCCAGGGACAGAGCCCCAGCUGUGGCCCCAUGCGUGUCCUUCCUAUGUUGCAUGAGCGGCUGCCCCUGGCUGGACCGUAGGGUCGGGAGAGCUGCAGGCGGUGAAGACACUUGCAGAAGCCUGGCUGGAGUUGAACCCAGGCUCCUAGGGUUCUAAGUGUGCUGGGGCCCCCACUGCUGGUGCCAGAGCUGUGAGGCCACAGCGAGAAGGGGCUUUGGAGUGUCACAGAUAGGGUGAAAACUCAGAGCCAUCGUCAGCGUGUAGGGUAGAGUCAGGGGCAUGCCAGCCUGUGGGCGUCGCAUAAACAGUGAUUAUUUUUAUUUACUAUUUUGCUGCACGAAUUACCCUCUUGGAAAACCACUGCAGCCACGAGGAGAACAACAGCCACGCAGCCAUGUGAGCCGCGGACUUGGUCAAGGGCAGCAGAGCCGUGUCAGGAGGCAGGAGUCGGGGAUGGGGGGUGUCACUUUAGACUUAGAGCUGAGCUUUCGCCUGGGCAGCAGCCCCAGACCCCUGCCCCCGCCUCUGCCCUGCUCAGAAAGGCUUUCUGGGUGCCUGGGUGCCUUGGCUGUGCGGGUCCCCACCCUUCUGCCUGGUGGUGGGGGCUGGAUGUGCGGAAGCAGGAAGCAUCCUGACCCCACGUGGGGUUGGGGCUGCUUUUAAAGGCGAGAGUUGGUGAUUUGCUCCUGUCGUGAUGGGGCCUGGCCCAGCCCCGUGCAGGCGCCUGACGCAGUGAGGGUCGCCCGUUCCUAGUUCCCACGAGGCCCAGGUCCCCACGAUUCUGAGGUGAGGGCGCCCUGGAAAAGGCCGCUUCCUUUCAGGUUGUUUCCGGAGCAGGGUCUGCCCCGGCGGGGGUCCGCAGACCGGUCAGAGCCUAAGAGCAGUCCCCUGCCGUUAGCCGCGUGUGAGGUGUUGGGGGGAGCGGGGCCCCAUUUCAUAAGGACACAUCAUUGGGUCAGGGUCCACCCCAGUGACGUCAUUUCACUGGGUGACCUCAGCAGGGAACCUGUUUCCAGUGAGGUCAGAUGCACAGGUUCUGGGGGUAGGAUGCUGGCAUGAACUUGGGGAGACACAGUCCAUUACAGGGCAUUUGGGGGGAAAACUGAGGUGCAUCGUGGGGACAUCCCGCCUGCGGCCCCUAGCUCACAAGGAGGGGUCUGGGGCCACACCCCCCACCCCUUCACGCCCUCCUGGGUCUUCGCGGUCAUGGUUGCGGCCGGGCCUGCUCUGGGAGGCCCGUGCUCACAGGCCCACGUGUGUGUGGGCUGGGGACUGUGCGGAGUGGCCCAGACCCCCGGAGCCCCAGCCUCAUGCCUUUGCCUGUGCGACGGUGGGGCCCUCGAGGUUCCUGCCUUGGAACCUGGGUUCUGCGAUUCCUGCCGGCGAUUCCCAGGCGGAGACCACGGUCCCGAGCGGUUCUGGUCUGCCCCUCAGGUCCCGCCCCCGGCCCCCUGCAGCCUUUCUUCUUGGCUCCAGAAGGGAGUUCUCGCUGGGGGCAGUGGCGCAGGGACACAGCUGGGGCUUGGAGAGAAUUUAUGGAAUUCAAAUAACAUGACUGAUUGCUCUCUU